Homo sapiens (human) is the source of this 640-nucleotide long non-coding RNA. NCBI's taxonomy places the organism in Eukaryota, Metazoa, Chordata, Mammalia, Primates, Hominidae. The record is from Ensembl.
AGGAAAAGAGGAGACAAACAAGGGUGACAUUGGCUGGGCAGCAAAGAUGACCAAAAGGCCAAGAAGCCUGUGCUGUUCCAGUAUUGAUCCGGUGCUCCUCCGUCACCAUCCGACCACAGAACCUCAGGCUGAUAGUUGUUCACUAACUCAUAGAGCUCUGGCAAUGUCUUAGAAACUGGAAAUUGCCGCUUAUGGAAUGAACUGGAUUCAUCCUCAAGGAAGAGCGGAUGAAACCAUUCAAAAAGGGAAUAGUACAGUCCAAAACGCAGAUUUUAAGGUCCUUAAGGGAUUGCAUCAUGUCUGCAGUGCUCCCUGCUAUGUCUCCAGCCAACUGCUAGCACAAGGUUCUGGCUCUGUCACCCAGGCUGGAGUUCAGUGGUGCGAACUUCGCUCACUGCAUCCUCGACCUCCUGGGCUCAAGUGAUGCUCCCACCUCAGCCUACCAAGUAGCUAGGACUACAGCUUGGGAAAGUUCCUAGACAUCAGGAAAUCAGCAUGUUCUCAAGCAAAUACACUUGAUAGACAUUCAUCUCAGCAGGAUAAAUAUCUACAGGAGAAAAUCAUGAAGCUACCAGAAUGUGGCCAAAGGGAAAAAUAUCCUAUGAUCAUUCCAGAUUUUUUGUGUUGGUUCUCCUCUCCU